Apodemus sylvaticus (European woodmouse) is the source of this 1200-nucleotide long non-coding RNA. RefSeq lists it as uncharacterized. The transcript is spliced from 3 exons. The record is from RefSeq and is a predicted model, not a curated record. Lineage: Eukaryota; Metazoa; Chordata; Mammalia; Rodentia; Muridae.
UCACCUGGAACCCAGAAGUGUUGGGAGAAAGGAUAUGAGUACAAACCCUGGGCCUCCCUUCUCAACAAGACUGCUGUUGCUAUUUGGAUGACUGUAACCCAGCACUUGAAGACAGAGGGCUUACUGCAGUUCUUUUUAGGCCAUGUACUUGGGAGCCUGAGGAAGUACUAGAGAACAAACUCCAGUACAGAAAUGGAAUCAACAGAUAACCUGACCUCAGCAUCCGUUCAUUUGCUCAUGAAGCCUGUCCUCUGGAGCCGCCUCUGCAUUAUCAACAAAAUGCUCCAUCAUCUACGCCUAGACUGGAGCCUGGUAACCUCCACGGCUGGAAGGUUGUAACAAAAACAAAUGGUCUCAGAGAGGACAAGGUAAGAAUCAUAGGGAUCAUUCUGCUCACGCAAAGGCAAGAACAAGUGAAGAAACCCUCCUCAGGGGUCAUCACUACAUCUCUUAAAAUCACAAAACUCUGGCCUAGGACCUAACCUUCCCAAACAGAUGCUCUUCCCCACUGAGCACUGGAUUAACCAACGAAUGUGCUGCCAGCGGAGCUGGAUGUACACUGGCCAGCAGAACGCUGUGCUUCUGGAGCAGAGCACAAGACAACAGCUUAGGAUCAACAGACUCACCAGCCCUUCUGGUCUUACUGUGUGUGAACUGCAGAACUGUCAUUAAGACUCCACUGUUUUGAACUUGUUACCUACAGGUGACAGAGGAGGGACCUCUGAAGGAAUGGAAGCUGAAGUAGAGAGCCUCUUACAUCCAGGCUAUAGAAGACAAUCUAUGUGUCCUCGGUCCAGACAAUGUAGAGGAAACCAGAAUCAAAUAUCAAAUAUCCUCAGAAGCAGAUGAAGGAAAAAGAAGAAAUGGGAUCCUGACUGCCAAGGAAGCACUUUUGGCUCUAAACCACUCUCUGGUAAACAUCAUCAAAUCAUAGCUGGACUCUGACGUUCCAGCUGAGAAGACAGAGAAGGGUGAGAGGCCAAGCAGCUCCAGUCAUUUCUUAGAGGAUUUAGGUAGCCAACGCAUCUUGGACAAUCAGUGAAGUGGACUCUUCUAAACUGUCUCCCCUUCCCUUUCUUCAGUGGCUCCAAACCCUUUUUUAAAUAGGAGGUGAUUUAACUCUCUUCUGGCCUUAGAAGACUGGGUGAGAGGUAUAAGAGGUAGGAUAGACUCGAAAUGCUCUUGGGAGAGUAAGGAUGU